AACGAACGCUGGCGGCAUGCCUAACACAUGCAAGUCGAACGAGACCUUCGGGUCUAGUGGCGCACGGGGGCGUAACGCGUGGGAACCUGCCCUUAGGUUCGGAAUAACUCCCCGAAAGGGGUGCUAAUACCGGAUAAUGUCUUCGGACCAAAGAUUUAUCGCCUUUGGAUGGGCCCGCGUUGGAUUAGCUAGUUGGUAGGGUAAAAGUCUACCAAGGCGACGAUCCAUAGCUGGUCUGAGAGGAUGAUCAGCCACACUGGGACUGAGACACGGCCCAGACUCCUACGGGAGGCAGCAGUGGGGAAUAUUGGACAAUGGGCGAAAGCCUGAUCCAGCAAUGCCGCGUGAGUGAUGAAGGCCUUAGGGUUGUAAAGCUCUUUUACCCGGGAUGAUAAUGACAGUACCGGGAGAAUAAGCUCCGGCUAACUACGUG
This 433-nucleotide ribosomal RNA is filed under the name uncultured bacterium. RNAcentral describes it as "partial 16S ribosomal RNA". It matches the Rfam family "Bacterial small subunit ribosomal RNA", at positions 29 to 507 of the family's 1533-position model. The record is from RNAcentral.